This 1026-nucleotide ribosomal RNA is filed under the name Saksenaea boninensis. RNAcentral describes it as "partial large subunit ribosomal RNA". It matches the Rfam family "Eukaryotic large subunit ribosomal RNA", at positions 1 to 919 of the family's 3401-position model. The record is from RNAcentral. Lineage: Eukaryota; Fungi; Mucoromycota; Mucoromycetes; Mucorales; Saksenaeaceae.
UAUCGAUCUGAAAUCAGGUGGGACUACCCGCUGAACUUAAGCAUAUCAAUAAGCGGAGGAAAAGAAACUAACAAGGAUUCCCCUAGUAACGGCGAGUGAAGAGGGAACAAGCUCAAAGUUGGAAUCUAUCUGGCUUAGCCAGAUCGAAUUGUAAACUUUAGAGUCGUUAUCCAGAUCAGCCGAGUAAAUAAGUUCCUUGGAAUAGGACAUCAUGGAGGGUGAGAAUCCCGUCUUUGGCUUGAGCAUUGAUCUUUUGUGAUGCGGCUUCAACGAGUCAGGUUGUUUGGGAAUGCAGCCUUAAUUGGGUGGUAAAUCUCACCUAAAGCUAAAUAUUGGCGAGAGACCGAUAGCGAACAAGUACCGUGAGGGAAAGAUGAAAAGAACUUUGAAAAGAGAGUUAAACAGUAUGUGAAAUUGCUGAAAGGGAACCGUUUGAAGCCAGUCUGGCUGGUCUGCAAUCAGCUUCGGCUUUUGCUCGGAGUGCACUUGUAGGCCGUCGCCUGCCAACAACAGUUUAUUCUGUAGCAAAAAGGUGCUGAGAAUGUGGCUUGCCUUCGGGUAAGUGUUAUAGCUCGGUACGAAAUACUAUGGAUUAGACUGAGGAUCGCAGUGGAUGCUUUUUGGCUUUGGAAGUGGGUUGCUCAGAUGUUACCAAGGUAGUUUCGACCGUAAAAAAGUCGUGCUGGUUUGUUGAUGCCUGACUCGGCCUGCUUGCUUUUAAUUCACUUUGGUUGUUGGCGUAAUGGCUUUAAACGACCCGUCUUGAAACACGGACCAAGGAGUCCACCAUAGGUGCAAGUAUUUGGGUGCCAAACCCAUAUGCGAAAUGAAAGUGAUUUGGUAUGAAUCCCUUGAGGAGGCAAUACCGUCCGGCGUUGACGUUUUAACUGACAUGACCGAGACAAAGCACUUAUGAUGGGACCCGAAAGAUGGUGAACUAUGCCUGAAUAGGAUGAAGCCAGAGGAAACUCUGGUGGAGGUCCGUAGCGAUUCUGACGUGCAAAUCGAUCGUCAAAUUUGGGUAUA